CCUUAACAGUUACAUUAUGUAAUUGACACUUGCCACGAUAAGGAGAUUUAAAUG
This 54-nucleotide non-coding RNA is filed under the name unclassified sequences. RNAcentral describes it as "Mu-gpT-DE RNA". It matches the Rfam family "Mu-gpT-DE RNA". The record is from Rfam by way of RNAcentral.